CUCAGUAACUCUCUCUCGUUCUAUCUUUCUCUCUUAGCUACUCUCUCGUUCAAUCCUUCUUUCCUUCUCUCUGUUUGUUGCAGGUGUGUAACAAGGUGAUGGGGGCCCGCGGCUUGGGUCGUAUGACAGGGAGGCUCGAUUCGUGGGUCUAUGGCGUGGCUCGCUCGUGGGUGCGGCGGUGCUUGCGGCGGUGGGUCUACGACAUGGCUCGACUGGUCUAUCUUCCAUCAGAUACGAUUUGGGGUUUGUAGAUUCAACUUGUUUCCGUGUCUAUGUGAAAGUCAGAUGUGAAGAGAUGGUGGAGACAACUGACUUAACAUUAAUGUAGUUGCAGGUACUUAUUUCUAAAGCUUAAGAUCUAUCACUAGUAUUUCUGGAUUCAAUGCUAGAUUUGCAUAAACUGUGUUAUUUCCUUUUUUUUCUUCAUUUUUCUUGUUUAUAUUUUUAUCUUGUAGAAGAUGAAAUAUCUUAGGCUAGAAUCAUUUCUGUGAAAUUGGUGAAAGUUCUAGUCUGUUUUAUAUUAAUUAUCUUAAGAUCAUGCCUUUUUAGCGAAUUUGACUGCUUAUAUUGUUGAUUAUAUGGGUUCUAUAUCCAUGGUUUGAAUGUUGAAAUAUUAAAGUUGAGAAAUGUUGAUCUUAGGGUUAUUAUUGGAAAUUUUUAUUCUUUUAUUUAUUUUACUAUUGUUACGAGGUUUUUGAUUUUGAGAUUGGGAGUUGUAGGAUUUUGUAUCUAUAAUUUUUCAUUGAUUCGAUGUUUGAGAGGAUCUAGGGAUAUAGGGCUAGUCGAUGAAAAUAAGAUAAAAAAGAUUUGAACUCCUCUCAUUAAGUAGUUACGGUAUAAUAGUUCUCCAUUUGAAAAUAGA
This is a long non-coding RNA of Humulus lupulus (European hop), 862 nucleotides long. RefSeq lists it as uncharacterized. Lineage: Eukaryota; Viridiplantae; Streptophyta; Magnoliopsida; Rosales; Cannabaceae. The record is from RefSeq and is a predicted model, not a curated record. The transcript has 3 exons.